UGUUAAGAUAAAGAUUUACACUUAUAGUAAAACCAAACAUUAGAAUAAUAAAAUAACAAUUAUCAAAACAACUCAUCAACAUUUUGCUGCACUUGAAAACAGUGUGUUUUACACAGUAUUGGUCAAAGGUGAUGGGUAUUUCUCUUCAAUGAGACAGUCAUAUUGCAAUGUUGUAAACAAGGUCCACAAUACACUUGCUUUAAGAAUAUGCAAUCUUGGCGGGCUCAGCGGCCCCGGCCCUGGGAGCGCCCGGGCGGAGCGGGCGGCCGGGCGCGGAGGAGCCGAGCGGCCCGCGGAGGGCCAGGGGCCGGGCGCGAGCAGCGGCGGCGGAGCUGCCGGUCCUACAUGAUGAGAGAUUUUGGGGUGCUUCUCUCUCCUCUGUGUAGUCGAUAGUUUGGGUGUUGAAGAGAUGGCUGACAGUGUUAAAACAUUUCUCCAGGACCUGGCCAGGGGAAUCAAAGACUCCAUACGGGGUAUUUGCACCAUCUCAAAGUUGGAUGCUCGAAUCCAGCAAAAGAGAGAGGAGCAGCUCCGAAGAAGGGCAAGCAGUGUCCCGGCACAGAGGAGAGCCCAGAGCACGGAGCGGAAGCGAGAGAGCGAGCCACGUAUUGUUAGUAGAAUUUUCCAGUGUUGGGCUUGGAAUGGUGGAGUAUUCUGGUGUAGUCUCUUAUUUUAUGGAAUGUUUAUUCCUGGGCUUCAGUAUGUAACAGCCCUAAUUAUCGGUGAUCCAUCACUACAUGGAGUUUUUUGGUCCUGGCUGGAAUUCUUCCUCACGUCAAUUUUCAGCUCUCUCUGGGUGCUCCCCCUGUUUGUGCUGAGCAAAGUCGUAAAUGCCAUUUGGUUUCAGGAUACAGCUGACCUGGCAUUUGAGGUAUCAGGGGGAGACCUCAUCCAUUCCCCAGUGUCAGUAAAAUAAUUGCUGACAUGCUUUUCAACCUUUUGUUGCAGGCUCUUUUCCUUAUCCAGGGAAUGUUCGUGAGCCUCUUCCCUAUCCAUCUUAUUGGUCAGCUGGUUAGUCUCCUUCAUAUGUCCCUUCUGUACUCACUGUAUUGCUUUGAAUAUCGUUGGUUCAAUAAAGGAAUUGAAAUGCACCAACGGUUGUCAAACAUAGAAAGGAACUGGCCUUACUACUUUGGCUUUGGUUUGCCGUUGGCUUUUCUCAGGGCAAUGCAGUCCUCAUACAUUAUCAGUGGCUGCCUUUUCUCCAUCCUCUUUCCUUUAUUCAUUAUCAGCGCCAAUGAGGCAAAGACCCCUGGAAAAGCAUACCUCUUCCAGGUGCAACUCUUCUCCUUGAUGGUCUUCUUAAGCAACCGACUCUUCCACAAGACAGUGUACCUGCAGUCUGCCCUAAGCAGCUCAACCUCUGCAGAGACGUUCCCUUCGCCACAUCCAUCUCCUGCCAAACCGAAAGCUGCUGCAGGCCACUGAGCUCCCUGCCACCCAAAGGGGGUGGGUGGGAGUGGAGGGAGGCUGCCAAGGGCCUUCUGCAUAUUCACUUCUCUCUGAGGAAUUGGAAGGUUUGUCUCUGGUGCACAUGAGGCAGAAUCUUCCUGACAUCAAUGUGUGACUUCUUAACACCACCUGAGUCUGAAAGGACCAUAGGUUUUUCUGCAGCUAUUUUCUAGCCUUUGCCAUCCCCUGUGCUGUGCCUGGAUUUUGUUUUGUCCCUGUGCUAUUUACCCUCCUCCUUUCCUGCCUUCCACCACCCUUGGAUGAAUGGGUUUUGUAAUUCUAGCUGUUGUAUUUUGUGGAUUUGUUAUUUUUGUUGUUUUUCUGUGAAGCACAUACAUUGGAUGUGGGAGGUAAAGGAGGAUCUCAGUUGCUCCUGGUCACUCCUGUUUUAGCCAUCACUGUCUUGUUUCUUGUAACUCAGGUUAGGAUUUGGUCUCUCUUGCUCUACUGCAAAAAAAAAAAAAGAAAAAGAAAAAGAAAAAAAGAA
RNA transcript from Nycticebus coucang (slow loris), 1939 nucleotides. It is a transcript of the gene named etoposide-induced protein 2.4 homolog, with no coding region annotated. The record is from RefSeq and is a predicted model, not a curated record. NCBI's taxonomy places the organism in Eukaryota, Metazoa, Chordata, Mammalia, Primates, Lorisidae. The transcript has a single exon.